Molecule: ribosomal RNA, 607 nt
Filed under: Phlebia radiata
Lineage: Eukaryota; Fungi; Basidiomycota; Agaricomycetes; Polyporales; Meruliaceae
Description: LSU rRNA
Rfam family: Eukaryotic large subunit ribosomal RNA
Source: RNAcentral
AAGCAUAUCAAUAAGCGGAGGAAAAGAAACUAACAAGGAUUCCCCUAGUAACUGCGAGUGAAGCGGGAAAAGCUCAAAUUUAAAAUCUGGCGGUCUUCGAUCGUCCGAGUUGUAGUCUGGAGAAGCGUCUUCCGCGCUGGACCGUGUACAAGUCUCUUGGAACAGAGCGUCGUAGAGGGUGAGAAUCCCGUCUUUGACACGGACUACCAGUGCUUUGUGAUGCGCUCUCAAAGAGUCGAGUUGUUUGGGAAUGCAGCUCAAAAUGGGUGGUAAAUUCCAUCUAAAGCUAAAUAUUGGCGAGAGACCGAUAGCGAACAAGUACCGUGAGGGAAAGAUGAAAAGCACUUUGGAAAGAGAGUUAAACAGUACGUGAAAUUGCUGAAAGGGAAAUGAUUGAAGUCAGUCGCGUCGUCUAGAACUCAACCUUGCCUCGGCUCGGUGCAUUUUCUAGUUGACGGGCCAGCAUCAGUUUUGACCGUCGGAAAAAGGUCCUCGGAAUGUGGCACCUUCGGGUGUGUUAUAGCCUUGGGUCGUAUACGACGGUUGGGACUGAGGACCGCAGCACGCCUUUAUGGCCGGGGUUCGCCCACGUACGUGCUUAGGAUGC